GGUACGGGCAGACUAGAGUGCGGUAGGGGAGAUUGGAAUUCCUGGUGUAGCGGUGGAAUGCGCAGAUAUCAGGAGGAACACCGAUGGCGAAGGCAGAUCUCUGGGCCGUAACUGACGCUGAGGAGCGAAAGCAUGGGGAGCAAACAGGCUUAGAUACCCUGGUAGUCCAUGCCGUAAACGUUGGGAACUAGAUGUGGGGACCAUUCCACGGUCUCCGUGUCGUAGCUAACGCAUUAAGUUCCCCGCCUGGGGAGUACGGCCGCAAGGCUAAAACUCAAAGGAAUUGACGGGGGCCCGCACAAGCGGCGGAGCAUGCGGAUUAAUUCGAUGCAACGCGAAGAACCUUACCAAGGCUUGACAUAUACGAGAACGCGCUGGAGACAGCGAACUCUUUGGACACUCGUAUACAGGUGGUGCAUGGUUGUCGUCAGCUCGUGUCGUGAGAUGUUGGGUUAAGUCCCGCAACGAGCGCAACCCUCGUCCUAUGUUGCCAGCACGUAAUGGUGGGAACUCAUGGGAUACUGCCGGGGUCAACUCGGAGGAAGGUGGGGAUGAGGUCAAAUCAUCAUGCCCCUUAUGUCUUGGGCUUCACGCAUGCUACAAUGGCCGGUACAAUGGGCUGCAAUACCGUAAGGUGGAGCGAAUCCCAAAAAGCCGGUCUCAGUUCGGAUUGAGGUCUGCAACUCGACCUCAUGAAGUCGGAGUCGCUAGUAAUCGUAGAUCAGCAACGCUACGGUGAAUACGUUCCCNGGCCUUGUACACACCGCCCGUCAAGUCAUGAAAGUCGGUAACACCCGAAG
RNAcentral lists this ribosomal RNA (800 nucleotides) under unidentified microorganism. RNAcentral describes it as "bacterial SSU rRNA". It matches the Rfam family "Bacterial small subunit ribosomal RNA", at positions 629 to 1426 of the family's 1533-position model. The record is from RNAcentral.